Molecule: ribosomal RNA, 253 nt
Filed under: uncultured bacterium
Lineage: Bacteria
Description: partial 16S ribosomal RNA
Rfam family: Bacterial small subunit ribosomal RNA
Source: RNAcentral
GACGAACCGUGCGAACGUUAUUCGGAAUCACUGGGCGUAAAGAGCGCGCAGGCGGUCGUGCAAGUCGCGUGUGAAAGCCCCCGGCUCAACUGGGGAGGGUCACGCGAUACUGCUCGACUUGAAGGCAGGAGAGGGAAGUGGAAUUCCCGGUGUAGUGGUGAAAUGCGUAGAUAUCGGGAGGAACACCAGUGGCGAAGGCGACUUCCUGGCCUGUUCUUGACGCUGAGGCGCGAAAGCUAGGGUAGCAAACGGG